Molecule: ribosomal RNA, 253 nt
Filed under: uncultured bacterium
Lineage: Bacteria
Description: partial 16S ribosomal RNA
Rfam family: Bacterial small subunit ribosomal RNA
Source: RNAcentral
UACGUAGGUGGUGAGCGUUGUCCGGAUUUACUGGGCGUAAAGGGAGCGUAGGCGGACUUUUAAGUGAGAUGUGAAAUACUCGGGCUCAACUUGAGUGCUGCAUUUCAAACUGGAAGUCUAGAGUGCAGGAGAGGAGAAUGGAAUUCCUAGUGUAGCGGUGAAAUGCGUAGAGAUUAGGAAGAACACCAGUGGCGAAGGCGAUUCUCUGGACUGUAACUGACGCUGAGGCUCGAAAGCGUGGGGAGCAAACAGG